ACAGAUAGUAACAUUUUUUAUUAAAUAUUACAGUGGAUCAAAAAGUACAAAAUAUCUCUUGCCUGCUAUGUGAUUGGGAAACUAUUGGCACGUAAUACAGUAUCAAAAGCAGUAAUAAGUACAAUUUGGAAAACAUACAAAAUUGAGUGUUUAUAGUUGGCUCAGCAUUCUUCUGGUAGUGUUUAAACUAAUGCAAAGGUUACUCAAUAACCUCUCCAUUGGGAAACUAUAUAAUAUCACUGGGCCAUGUUGCUAUAUACAAAUAAUCACCUUACAGAGCAUAGAGGUUACAUAGCUGGAAUCACCAAAAGUAUACAAUAUUUACAACACAGGAAAGUUUAAAAAAGUAUAAACAGCCAAGAGAUUAUGCUGCUAUUCUUCAGACAUAUUUCAACCAUGAGGAGACAUUUCAAUACAAAUGCACGGCAUGCAUGGCUUUGUUUAAGAGCCGCAGUUUCAUUGUUAUCAGUUUUGAUUAUUUUGCAGUCGAGUUACCUAUUUAGAAGUUGAAAAUUGUCACCAAUUUUCCCAGAAUUAAGUAUCUCAGAGGUAAAAGACUUAGUUAACUAUGGUUCUAAAGUCUACUGGUAGUGUUGCGGGAGGGGCACAGUGGGUUGGGGAGUUCAUCCAAGCGGUCUUCAGCAGGGAUGGGACUUGGGGAGAAAAUCCACUCUCUGUAUCCAUUGACUUUUAAUUAAUACAGUUAGAAAAUGUGUCCACCUUAAUGUUAUAUCUCGGUAGCAAAUGGAAUACAGUGGCAAGAAUGACAACGGACAUUCUCCACAUCUUUUCACUGCCUGAGCAGCUUGACCAUUUACUUCCCACAAUAAAAGAAACCAGAAAGUGGACUGUAUUGCCAGGUGGUUAAAAACAUGACCCAAACCACCUUACAUGUUUCUGUGUGUGUACACACAAAACUCACACCCCAUAAAACCAAAUAGGAUGACUUUUCUUUUGAAAAGGCUAAUCCAGUAUGUCAGUUAUCCCCAAAGAUGUGGCCUGGGAGAUUCUUCUUGGGAAUGACAAGAAACCAACUGGAUGAAAACAACAUGACUACUUAUCACUCAAAAGACCGAGGCUAGAGAAGCUAUCAGGACUGCAGCUGCUCCUCUUCUGGCCAGUUGAGCUCCAUCCUCUUCCCAACCCCCUUUCCCAGACCAUUUAAAGGAAUCAGUGCCAACGCCAAUGUAAAUCAUUUUGGCUCCUGUUCUAAUUUCUGAAAUUCCUAAAAUAUCUGUGCAGCCCACAAAUAUGUCCUCUAGACUCUGUUGUUAUUCGGCAGCUUGCUGCCAGUGAGGUUUUUGUUUUUAUGAUUCUCUGGUAUGUAGGACAGUUUCACAGCCUAGAUAAGGUAAGUACAAUGCUCAAUAUUUUCACAGAACCCAAUACUUCAAAGCAAAGCAUUUGGCUGGGUAAGCAGUGUAUAAGCUCUUUCAACUAUGCCAUUUAUGAGGAACAAAAUCCUUAAGUUGCGGAUCUACAAAGGAACGUUCUUUGCACUAUUGUGUGCUUGACUGUUUCUUUUUCAUUUGUUCCACUAGAAUCAGUUGCUUCAAUUUGUAAACAAUAACUUUACCACCCAAAGCUGCUCAAAAUAAGAUGUGGAAAAAUUACAAACACACAACAACUAGGACAGUCAGUCAGCCUCAAAAACAAAACAAAAACAAAAAGACCUGCAAACAAAAGCAAUACCAUUUAAUAAAAAAAAAAAAAAAAAAAAAAAAAAAGACGAGAAGGAACUGGGAGAAAAUGGAACUACCUGUAUAUAAAUUAGGUGAGCAAACAGUGAUACAGGUAGUUUUAAGAAGCAAAUAUAUACAGUCAAUUUAACAGUGUUUACUUCUCUGGAUUGUUUAAUAGUGUCAAAAUGAAAGAUCUAUUGAAGUUUCACUAUACAUUGCAUUGAUUGAACCUUGGAGAGUUUUAUGAAAAAGAGGGGCAUCCCUUGCCAUCUGUUUGCCAGUCUUCCUUGCCCCUUCCUUUGAAAUGCCUGCCUCUUUUUUGCCCAGAUUGUUUCCUGACCAUCCGAACUCAGAUGGGGUCCUCUAAGUUCUUCCUGGAUAUUCACAAAUCCCUUCACAAGGCCCACGUGCGAAGUGAAUGAUCUGGAGGUGCCUGGGCAUCUGUGUUGGAAGGGAGUCAAGACUCACCAGCCAGUCAGUUUGUGGGCUAGAGUUGUCCCACAAAAAUCAGGCAUGUUCACCUCCCCUCUGGGCCCCUACAGCUGGGACUGAUCAUAGCCUCAGAUUAGAAGAAAUACUGACUUCUAACUCUAUAAGCCAGCACUCCUGGGUAAGGAGUGAAGCUCUGUUGGCCAUGCCGCUUUGGACUGCUGGGCAGAGCUGAGCCUACAGUUUUGUACUGGGGUGCACGGAUGACAGCUGGGAAGAUGGAAAGGCAGCUUGAGGAUUUAUAGCAGCUAAAGGGUAAAUGCUGUUAUGCAAAAGGUCCCCAUAUGAACUUCCUACAGGUGUAGCCGCAGCCAAGUGUCUGUACAGCUGCUGAGAAUUUGUCGGUGAUGUAAAAAUUCCUCUUUGCAUCACAAGCGAGUGGAAAGCCAGGGGCUGCAUGAGUGGAGAAAGCACAGUCUGGUUUUUCAAGUACUGCAGAGAAUG
Molecule: long non-coding RNA, 2615 nt
Filed under: Homo sapiens (human)
Lineage: Eukaryota; Metazoa; Chordata; Mammalia; Primates; Hominidae
Description: non-protein coding lnc-RTKN2-1:1
Source: RNAcentral